RNAcentral lists this ribosomal RNA (521 nucleotides) under Pestalotiopsis microspora. Its description in RNAcentral is "eukaryotic LSU rRNA". The stretch from base 146 to 299 matches the Rfam family "5.8S ribosomal RNA". The record is from RNAcentral. Lineage: Eukaryota; Fungi; Ascomycota; Sordariomycetes; Amphisphaeriales; Sporocadaceae.
GCUUUUGGAGUUUCUAACUCCCACCCAUGUGAACUUACCUUUUGUUGCCUCGGCAGAAGUUAUAGGUCUUCUUAUAGCUGCUGCCGGUGGACCAUUAAACUCUUGUUAUUUUAUGUAAUCUGAGCGUCUUAUUUUAAUAAGUCAAAACUUUCAACAACGGAUCUCUUGGUUCUGGCAUCGAUGAAGAACGCAGCGAAAUGCGAUAAGUAAUGUGAAUUGCAGAAUUCAGUGAAUCAUCGAAUCUUUGAACGCACAUUGCGCCCAUUAGUAUUCUAGUGGGCAUGCCUGUUCGAGCGUCAUUUCAACCCUUAAGCCUAGCUUAGUGUUGGGAAUCUACUUCUUUAUAGUUGUAGUUCCUGAAAUACAACGGCGGAUUUGUAGUAUCCUCUGAGCGUAGUAAUUUUUUUCUCGCUUUUGUUAGGUGCUAUAACUCCCAGCCGCUAAACCCCCAAUUUUUUGUGGUUGACCUCGGAUCAGGUAGGAAUACCCGCUGAACUUAAGCAUAUCAAUAAGCGGAGGAA